CUGAAUAUGGGGGGACCAUCCUCCAAGGCUAAAUACUCCUGACUGACCGAUAGUGAACCAGUACCGUGAGGGAAAGGCGAAAAGAACCCCGGCGAGGGGAGUGAAAAAGAACCUGAAACCGUGUACGUACAAGCAGUGGGAGCCUCUUAAUGGGGUGACUGCGUACCUUUUGUAUAAUGGGUCAGCGACUUAUAUUCUGUAGCAAGGUUAACCGAAUAGGGGAGCCGAAGGGAAACCGAGUCUUAACUGGGCGUUAAGUUGCAGGGUAUAGACCCGAAACCCGGUGAUCUAGCCAUGGGCAGGUUGAAGGUUGGGUAACACUAACUGGAGGACCGAACCGACUAAUGUUGAAAAAUUAGCGGAUGACUUGUGGCUGGGGGUGAAAGGCCAAUCAAACCGGGAGAUAGCUGGUUCUCCCCGAAAGCUAUUUAGGUAGCGCCUCGUGAAUUCAUCUCCGGGGGUAGAGCACUGUUUCGGCAAGGGGGUCAUCCCGACUUACCAACCCGAUGCAAACUGCGAAUACCGGAGAAUGUUAUCACGGGAGACACACGGCGGGUGCUAACGUCCGUCGUGAAGAGGGAAACAACCCAGACCGCCAGCUAAGGUCCCAAAGUCAUGGUUAAGUGGGAAACGAUGUGGGAAGGCCCAGACAGCCAGGAUGUUGGCUUAGAAGCAGCCAUCAUUUAAAGAAAGCGUAAUAGCUCACUGGUCGAGUCGGCCUGCGCGGAAGAUGUAACGGGGCUAAACCAUGCACCGAAGCUGCGGCAGCGACACUAUGUGUUGUUGGGUAGGGGAGCGUUCUGUAAGCCUGUGAAGGUGGCCUGUGAGGGUUGCUGGAGGUAUCAGAAGUGCGAAUGCUGACAUAAGUAACGAUAAAGCGGGUGAAAAGCCCGCUCGCCGGAAGACCAAGGGUUCCUGUCCAACGUUAAUCGGGGCAGGGUGAGUCGACCCCUAAGGCGAGGCCGAAAGGCGUAGUCGAUGGGAAACAGGUUAAUAUUCCUGUACUUGGUGUUACUGCGAAGGGGGGACGGAGAAGGCUAUGUUGGCCGGGCGACGGUUGUCCCGGUUUAAGCGUGUAGGCUGGUUUUCCAGGCAAAUCCGGAAAACCAAGGCUGAGGCGUGAUGA
RNAcentral lists this ribosomal RNA (1126 nucleotides) under Escherichia coli. Its description in RNAcentral is "partial 23S ribosomal RNA". It matches the Rfam family "Bacterial large subunit ribosomal RNA", at positions 438 to 1569 of the family's 2925-position model. Lineage: Bacteria; Pseudomonadati; Pseudomonadota; Gammaproteobacteria; Enterobacterales; Enterobacteriaceae. The record is from RNAcentral.